UACGUAUGUUGCAAGCGUUACUCGGAAUCACUGGGCGUAAAGAGUUCGUAGGCGGACUUUCAAGUCAGAAGUGAAAUUUUAGGGCUCAACCCUAAAACGGCUUUUGAAACUGUAAGUCUUGAGUAUGUGAGAGGUAGAUGGAAUUCCUGGUGUAGCGGUGGAAUGCGUAGAUAUCAGGAAGAACACCGAUGGCGAAGGCAGUCUACUGGCACAAUACUGACGCUGAGGAACGAAAGCGUGGGGAGCGAACAGG
This 253-nucleotide ribosomal RNA is filed under the name uncultured bacterium. RNAcentral describes it as "partial 16S ribosomal RNA". It matches the Rfam family "Bacterial small subunit ribosomal RNA", at positions 524 to 776 of the family's 1533-position model. The record is from RNAcentral.